RNAcentral lists this ribosomal RNA (438 nucleotides) under uncultured bacterium. RNAcentral's name for it is "bacterial SSU rRNA". It matches the Rfam family "Bacterial small subunit ribosomal RNA", at positions 954 to 1392 of the family's 1533-position model. The record is from RNAcentral.
GCAGAACGCGAAGAACCUUACCUGGGCUCGAACGGCGGACGACGUCUCUUAGAAAUAGGAGAGUUUCCUUCGGGAACGGCCGUCGAGGUGCUGCAUGGCUGUCGUCAGCUCGUGUCGUGAGAUGUUGGGUUAAGUCCCGCAACGAGCGCAACCCUUGUCCUGUGUUGCUAAUCUUCGGAUGCACUCUCAGGAGACCGCCAGCGACAAGCUGGAGGAAGGUGGGGAUGAUGUCAAGUCAGCAUGGCCUUUAUGUCCAGGGCUACACACGUGCUACAAUGGGCAGGACAGACCGUUGCAAACCCGCGAGGGGGAGCUAAUCGGAGAAACCUGUUCUCAGUUCGGAUUGCAGGCUGCAACUCGCCUGCAUGAGGCUGGAAUCGCUAGUAAUGGCAGAUCAGCAUGCUGCCGUGAAUACGUUCCCGGGUCUUGUACACACCG